Molecule: long non-coding RNA, 1014 nt
Organism: Siniperca chuatsi (mandarin fish)
Lineage: Eukaryota; Metazoa; Chordata; Actinopteri; Centrarchiformes; Sinipercidae
Exons: 2
Source: RefSeq, a predicted model, not a curated record
GAGGGUCGUCUGAAUACUCUCCACUUCCAGCCGCCUCAUUUCGCUCUCCUCAAGCUAAAUGGCGACACGGAGAGAGAGAGCGUGAAUGUAUCUCGACCUGAGCAGAAGGUGACAGCGCGGAGUAAGGUGAAUGUAUAGGAAAUCUUCCCUGCAGCAGGAUGCAUAAUGAUAAGCAAAAAACCAUCAUCAUCUGUAGGAGAGCAUAAAAAGAUAAAUAGCACAAAAUAACAGAGGCUUCCCAACUAUCUUCUGUUGAAUAAAUCAACCAGAGUUUGGUAGUUUAAACCUUCUGCCGGAGGGAGGACACUGAAAUUCUUCAUCGAUUAGAUGAAGACGACACUCCAGUAUGACUUUCCUCACAACCUGCAGGUUAUAUACUCUGUCAGCUAGCUGCUUCAGCUUAACAUCAGUAAACUUCAACACCUCAACCAUAUUCUACAAUUUGCUACGACGGGGGACUCGAGAGAGAGACCGCAUGGGUAGCCGAGCUAGCUCUACCGCUAGUGAGCUAAUCUGCUAGCAUGUUCACUGCUGGCUCACCACUCUUGGCUGUGCGAGCUGUUAUUAAAAUAUUAUCUCACGGACCACACUGGCUUUUGUUUUUUGACAAUGUUUUUAUUAUAAAAUGUUACAACAGAUACAUUUCAGUAGGAAUGGGUUGAUUGAAAAUGACGCUUGUUGUCUUUUUAUUACAGCGGCAUUGAGCUGUGUCCGUGUGUGUGUCUGACAGACCCACACAUUAAACAAUUUGAGGGAAAUUUCUCUGAUAAUUCAACUGUAACCCAGAAUUCGGAGUAACUUAAAUAUAAGGGUUCUUUAAAAAAUAAGAUUUACUGGAAAUGAUGAGGUUAUAAUGUGAUAUUUUGGAGGAAAGUCUGCGCUUGUGUCUCUCAGAAUCAUAAUUGUUUUUACAUUUGAAAACGUUUGCAUUGAAUCCAUUUGAAUGGCAGUGAGAAAGUUCUGCGUUGUCAAAUCUAAACCGAGGUGAAAGAAUAAAGAAACGCUUUGCUGGAA